GAUGAACGCUAGCGAUAGGCUUAACACAUGCAAGUCGAGGGGUAACGUGUUGGAAGCUUGCUUCCGAUGACGACGACCGGCGGAUGGGUGCGUAACGCGUAUGCAACUUGCCUCACAGUGGAGAAUAACCCGGAGAAAUCCGGACUAAUACUCCAUACACUCUUAAGUACGCCUGUACAUGAGAGGAAAGAUUUAUCGCUGUGAGAUAGGCAUGCGUCCUAUUAGGUAGUUGGUGAGGUAACGGCUCACCAAGCCGACGAUAGGUAGGGGUGCUGAGAGGCAGAUCCCCCACAUUGGGACUGAGACACGGCCCAAACUCCUACGGGAGGCAGCAGUGAGGAAUAUUGGCCAAUGGAGGAAACUCUGAACCAGCCAAGUCGCGUGAAGGAAGAAUGUCCUAAGGAUUGUAAACUUCUUUAGCGAGCGAGUAAGGACUUCCACGUGAUGGGAGUUUGAAAGUAGCUCGAGAAUAAGUAUCGGCUAACUCCGUG
Molecule: ribosomal RNA, 491 nt
Filed under: uncultured bacterium
Lineage: Bacteria
Description: partial 16S ribosomal RNA
Rfam family: Bacterial small subunit ribosomal RNA
Source: RNAcentral